Molecule: ribosomal RNA, 1409 nt
Filed under: Branchinecta orientalis
Lineage: Eukaryota; Metazoa; Arthropoda; Branchiopoda; Anostraca; Branchinectidae
Description: SSU rRNA
Rfam family: Eukaryotic small subunit ribosomal RNA
Source: RNAcentral
CUAUCCUACUUGGAUAACUGUGGUAAUUCUAGAGCUAAUACAUGCACAAUAGCCCCGACCUUACGGAAGGGGUGCUUUUAUUAGAUCAAGACCAAUCGGACUUCGGUCCGUUUCUUGGUGACUCUGAAUAACUUUGUGCCGAUCGCAUGGUCUAGCACCGGCGACGCAUCUUUCAAAUGUCUGCCUUAUCAACUGUCGAUGGUAGGUUAUGCGCCUACCAUGGUUGCAACGGGUAACGGGGAAUCGGGGUUCGAUUCCGGAGAGGGAGCCUGAGAAACGGCUACCACAUCCAAGGAAGGCAGCAGGCGCGCAAAUUACCCACUCCCGGCACGGGGAGGUAGUGACGAAAAAUAACGAUGCAGGACUCAUCCGAGGCCCUGUGAUUGGAAUGAGUACACUUUAAAUCCUUUAACGAGGACCUAUUGGAGGGCAAGUCUGGUGCCAGCAGCCGCGGUAACUCCAGCUCCAAUAGCGUAUAUUAAAGUUGCUGCGGUUAAAAAGCUCGUAGUUGGAUAUCGGUCGCGAUCAGGUGGUGCCGCCUCGCGGUGUGCACUGCCUCGAUUGGACAAUCCACCGGACUGUCCGGGGUGCUCUUAACCGAGUGUCCUGGGUGGCCGGUACGUUUACUUUGAACAAAUUAGAGUGCUUAAAGCAGGUGCUCCGCGCCUGAAUAUCACAGCAUGGAAUGAUGGAAUAGGACCUCGGUCUUAUUUUGUUGGUUUUCUGGACUUGAGGUAAUGGUUAAUAGAGACAGACGGGGGCAUUCGUACUGCGACGCUAGAGGUGAAAUUCUUGGACCGUCGCAAGACGAACAACUGCGAAAGCAUUUGCCAAGAAUGUUUUCAUUAAUCAAGAACGAAAGUUAGAGGUUCGAAGGCGAUCAGAUACCGCCCUAGUUCUAACCAUAAACGAUGCCAACCAGCGAUCCGCAGACGUUACUUCAAUGACUCUGCGGGCAGCUUCCGGGAAACCAAAGUUUUUGGGUUCCGGGGGAAGUAUGGUUGCAAAGCUGAAACUUAAAGGAAUUGACGGAAGGGCACCACCAGGAGUGGAGCCUGCGGCUUAAUUUGACUCAACACGGGAAACCUCACCAGGCCCGGACACUGGAAGGAUUGACAGAUUGAGAGCUCUUUCUUGAUUCGGUGGGUGGUGGUGCAUGGCCGUUCUUAGUUGGUGGAGCGAUUUGUCUGGUUAAUUCCGAUAACGAACGAGACUCUAGCCUGCUAAAUAGAUGACGUAUCUUCGGGUACGUUACUCUUCUUAGAGGGACAAGUGGCGUCUAGCCAUAUGAAAGUGAGCAAUAACAGGUCUGUGAUGCCCUUAGAUGUCCUGGGCCGCACGCGCGCUACACUGAAAGAAUCAGCGCGUCUUCCCUGUCCGAGAGGACCGGGUAACCGCUGAACCUCUUU